AAACAACUGCGCGCGCCUGUUUUCUACCCGACGGCGGGCCGAAAGCCAAGUGGUUGAAGGGAUUGAGCUCCAUAAUGUUAGUAGAUCGAGAGGGCUGAUGCCUUACGCACAGCAGAAAGCUACAUUUUAUCUUUCGUUAAAGGCAAGAAGGGUAAAACCUCUCUGGAGUCAGAGACCU
RNAcentral lists this non-coding RNA (178 nucleotides) under Neobacillus massiliamazoniensis. Lineage: Bacteria; Bacillati; Bacillota; Bacilli; Caryophanales; Bacillaceae. The record is from RNAcentral.